RNAcentral lists this ribosomal RNA (1642 nucleotides) under Weissella confusa. RNAcentral describes it as "16S ribosomal RNA". It matches the Rfam family "Bacterial small subunit ribosomal RNA". The record is from RNAcentral. Lineage: Bacteria; Bacillati; Bacillota; Bacilli; Lactobacillales; Lactobacillaceae.
GGGGAGUGGGGACCUGCUAAAAUGCAGUCGACGCUUUGUGGUUCACUGAUUUGAAGAGCUUGCUCAGAUAUGACGAUGGACAUUGCAAAGAGUGGCGAACGGGUGAGUAACACGUGGGAAACCUACCUCUUAGCAGGGGAUAACAUUUGGAAACAGAUGCUAAUACCGUAUAACAAUGACAACCGCAUGGUUGUUAUUUAAAAGAUGGUUCUGCUAUCACUAAGAGAUGGUCCCGCGGUGCAUUAGCUAGUUGGUAAGGUAAUGGCUUACCAAGGCGAUGAUGCAUAGCCGAGUUGAGAGACUGAUCGGCCACAAUGGGACUGAGACACGGCCCAUACUCCUACGGGAGGCAGCAGUAGGGAAUCUUCCACAAUGGGCGAAAGCCUGAUGGAGCAACGCCGCGUGUGUGAUGAAGGGUUUCGGCUCGUAAAACACUGUUGUAAGAGAAGAAUGACAUUGAGAGUAACUGUUCAAUGUGUGACGGUAUCUUACCAGAAAGGAACGGCUAAAUACGUGCCAGCAGCCGCGGUAAUACGUAUGUUCCAAGCGUUAUCCGGAUUUAUUGGGCGUAAAGCGAGCGCAGACGGUUAUUUAAGUCUGAAGUGAAAGCCCUCAGCUCAACUGAGGAAUUGCUUUGGAAACUGGAUGACUUGAGUGCAGUAGAGGAAAGUGGAACUCCAUGUGUAGCGGUGAAAUGCGUAGAUAUAUGGAAGAACACCAGUGGCGAAGGCGGCUUUCUGGACUGUAACUGACGUUGAGGCUCGAAAGUGUGGGUAGCAAACAGGAUUAGAUACCCUGGUAGUCCACACCGUAAACGAUGAGUGCUAGGUGUUUUGAGGGUUUCCGCCCUUAAGUGCCGCAGCUAACGCAUUAAGCACUCCGCCUGGGGGAGUACGACCGCAAGGUUGAAACUCAAAGGAAUUGACGGGGACCCGCACAAGCGGUGGAGCAUGUGGUUUAAUUCGAAGCAACGCGAAGAACCUUACCAGGUCUUGACAUCCCUUGACACUCCAGAAGAUGGAGUGUUCCCUUCGGGGACAAGGUGACAGGUGGGUGCAUGGGUUGUCGUCAGCUCCUGUCGUGAGAAGUUUGGGUUAAUUCCCCCCACCAACCGCACCCCUUAUUACUUAUUUGCCACCAUUCCAUUUGGGCACUCUAUUGGAGAAUGGCCGUGGACAACCCGAGGAAAGGGGGGGGGUGAGAGCAAAAUAUAAUUGGCCCCUUAUAACCGGGGGGUACACCCUGGCUUCAAAGGGGGGUUUACAACAAUUUGCCACCCCCCCCAGGGGGGGGGAAUCUCUUUAAAAAAAUCUCCCUUCCCUGAAUUGAGGGGGGCACACUCCCUCACUUAAAAAUGGGAAACCUUUUUAAUUCGGGUAAAAACCCCCCGCGGAAUAAAUUUUCCCGGGUUUUUUCCACCCGCCCGCCCCCCCCGAAAAUUUGGUACCCCCAACCCCCGGGGGGGAACUUUUGGGCACCCCCCUAUGGGGGCAUAUAUUGGGGUCAAGGGAGGGGGGGGCCCCCGGGGGGGGGCGCCCCUCUUCAGCAAACCCCGGAAGGGAGAGGGGGGGGGGGGGGGAGAGGGGGGGGGGGGGGGGAAGGGGAGAAAGGGGGGGAGAGGGCGGAGGGGGGGGGGGGGGGG